GACGAACGCUGGCGGCGUGCUUAACACAUGCAAGUCGAACGAUGAAGCUAGAGCUUGCUCUGGUGAAUUAGUGGCGAACGGGUGAGUAACACGUGAGUAACCUGCCACGAACUCUGGGAUAACUGCUGGAAACGGUAGCUAAUACUGGAUACGACCUACGAAGGCAUCUUCUGUAGGUGGAAAGAAUUUCGGUUCGGGAUGGACUCGCGGCCUAUCAGCUUGUUGGUGAGGUAAUGGCUCACCAAGGCGACGACGGGUAGCCGGCCUGAGAGGGUGACAGGCCACACUGGGACUGAGACACGGCCCAGACUCCUACGGGAGGCAGCAGUGGGGAAUAUUGCACAAUGGGCGCAAGCCUGAUGCAGCAACGCCGCGUGAGGGAUGACGGCCUUCGGGUUGUAAACCUCUUUUAGUAGGGAAGAAGCGAAAGUGACGGUACCUGCAGAAAAAGCACCGGCUAACUACGUGCCAGCAGCCGCCGCCG
RNAcentral lists this ribosomal RNA (484 nucleotides) under uncultured bacterium. RNAcentral describes it as "partial 16S ribosomal RNA". It matches the Rfam family "Bacterial small subunit ribosomal RNA", at positions 28 to 523 of the family's 1533-position model. The record is from RNAcentral.